CCAUAUUAACAUUUUGCAUGCAUGCCAUAUUAACAUUUUGCAUGCAUGCGCCAUAGGCAGUGGCACCAUAGUGCAAAUAAGCAAUGUAUGUGCCACAGGCAGUGACACAUGCUCUUGUCGUGUAAAUUUUUUUUUGUUUGAAAAGUGAUUAGUUUGAUAAAUAAUUUGAAAAUGUUGUUAUUUUAGUAUUUAUUUUAAAAAUAAUUGUUAUUUUAGAAAAAAACGAAGAAAGGGAUUGAAAAC
RNAcentral lists this long non-coding RNA (243 nucleotides) under Lathyrus oleraceus (garden pea). RNAcentral's name for it is "Pisum sativum (pea) long non-coding RNA (PSAT_LNC039233)". The record is from RNAcentral. Lineage: Eukaryota; Viridiplantae; Streptophyta; Magnoliopsida; Fabales; Fabaceae.